This 531-nucleotide ribosomal RNA is filed under the name Simulium nobile. RNAcentral describes it as "partial 12S ribosomal RNA". Lineage: Eukaryota; Metazoa; Arthropoda; Insecta; Diptera; Simuliidae. The record is from RNAcentral.
CGCGGUUAUACAAAUAAUGCAAAUAAGAUUUUUUAGUAAUAGUUAAUUUGUUUAAUUAUUAUAAAAUUAAAUUAAAUUUUUUAAGUGAAAUUUUAAAUUUAAUUAAUUUUAUAUUUUAUUUAAUGAAGCUAGAAAAUUUUAAUUAUAAACUAGGAUUAGAUACCCUAUUAUUUAAAAAGUAAGGUUAAAUACUUGAGUAGUAAUAGAUAUGGUCUUCAAACUUAAAGAAUUUGGCGGUGUUUUAGUCUCUUUAGAGGAACCUGUCCUGUAAUCGAUAAUCCACGUUGGACCUUACUAAAGUUUGUUUUCAAUUUGUAUAUCGCCGUUAUCAGAAUAUCUUAAAAGAGGAAUAAUUUUCUUAAUUUAUUAUUAUAAUUGAUGUCAGGUCAAGGUGCAGUUUAUAUUUUAGUAGAGAUGGGUUACAAUAAAUUUAUUUAAACGUUAAAUUGUUUGAAAUAAUGAUUUUAAGGUGGAUUUAAAAGUAAAAUAAUGUAUAUAAUUUAUUUGAUUAUAGCUCUAAAACAUGCACAC